CCUACGGGAGGCUGCAGUGAGGAAUAUUGGUCAAUGGACGAGAGUCUGAACCAGCCAAGUAGCGUGAAGGAUGACUGCCCUAUGGGUUGUAAACUUCUUUUAUAUGGGAAUAAAAUGUUCCACGUGUGGGAUUUUGUAUGUACCAUAUGAAUAAGGAUCGGCUAAAUCCGUGCCAGCAGCCGCGGUAAUACGGAGGAUCCGAGCGUUAUCCGGAUUUAUUGGGUUUAAAGGGAGCGUAGGUGGAUUGUUAAGUCAGUUGUGAAAGUUUGCGGCUCAACCGUAAAAUUGCAGUUGAAACUGGCAGUCGUGAGUACAGUAGAGGUGGGCGGAAUUCGUGGUGUAGCGGUGAAAUGCUUAGAUAUCACGAAGAACUCCGAUUGCGAAGGCAGCUCACUGGACUGCAACUGACACUGAGGCUCGAAAGUGUGGGUAUCAAACAGGAUUAGAUACCCCUGUAGUC
Molecule: ribosomal RNA, 460 nt
Filed under: uncultured bacterium
Lineage: Bacteria
Description: partial 16S ribosomal RNA
Rfam family: Bacterial small subunit ribosomal RNA
Source: RNAcentral